RNAcentral lists this ribosomal RNA (498 nucleotides) under Staphylococcus epidermidis. RNAcentral describes it as "bacterial SSU rRNA". It matches the Rfam family "Bacterial small subunit ribosomal RNA", at positions 1 to 480 of the family's 1533-position model. The record is from RNAcentral. Lineage: Bacteria; Bacillati; Bacillota; Bacilli; Caryophanales; Staphylococcaceae.
UUUUAUGGAGAGUUUGAUCCUGGCUCAGGAUGAACGCUGGCGGCGUGCCUAAUACAUGCAAGUCGAGCGAACAGACGAGGAGCUUGCUCCUCUGACGUUAGCGGCGGACGGGUGAGUAACACGUGGAUAACCUACCUAUAAGACUGGGAUAACUUCGGGAAACCGGAGCUAAUACCGGAUAAUAUAUUGAAUCGCAUGGUUCAAUAGUGAAAGACGGUUUUGCUGUCACUUAUAGAUGGAUCCGCGCCGCAUUAGCUAGUUGGUAAGGUAACGGCUUACCAAGGCAACGAUGCGUAGCCGACCUGAGAGGGUGAUCGGCCACACUGGAACUGAGACACGGUCCAGACUCCUACGGGAGGCAGCAGUAGGGAAUCUUCCGCAAUGGGCGAAAGCCUGACGGAGCAACGCCGCGUGAGUGAUGAAGGUCUUCGGAUCGUAAAACUCUGUUAUUAGGGAAGAACAAAUGUGUAAGUAACUAUGCACGUCUUGACGGUACCU